UACGUAGGGUGCGAGCGUUGUCCGGAAUUAUUGGGCGUAAAGGGCUCGUAGGCGGUUUGUCGCGUCGGGAGUGAAAACCCGCGGCUUAACUGCGGGCUUGCAGUUGAUACGGGCAGGCUAGAGUUCGGUAGGGGAGACUGGAAUUCCUGGUGUAGCGGUGAAAUGCGCAGAUAUCAGGAGGAACACCGGUGGCGAAGGCGGGUCUCUGGACAGUUCCUGACACUGAGACACGAAGGCCAGGGGAGCAAACGGG
This 253-nucleotide ribosomal RNA is filed under the name uncultured bacterium. RNAcentral's name for it is "partial 16S ribosomal RNA". It matches the Rfam family "Bacterial small subunit ribosomal RNA", at positions 524 to 776 of the family's 1533-position model. The record is from RNAcentral.